CUUUUUCUUUAAAGUAAAUAUAGCAAUCCAAAAAGGAAUUAAAUACUAACCUUCCAAAAUGCUACCAUAGGCUAAUGUGCAAAAGCAAUCUGUGUAGACAGCAGCAACGGAAGCUUUUAUGGCCUGCUUCUCUUCCUCCAGAUCUGAACGUGCAGCUAUUUUAGAGACUGAUCACAAUGUCACUUCAAGCCUUUGCAACUCUUCUGGCACCAGAGAGAGAAGCUAAUGUGACUCAUUCCGGAGAAGCUCAAAAUACUCCUAUUUAAAAGUCAGAUGCAGACUUACUACAGUGGUGCAUUCCAGAAAAGUGGAUAAACUGAAAACUGAAGGAAAAAUAAAAAAGCUUUUUCUAAUUAUGAAGGGGAAAACAAGAAGAUGAUGAGUACAGUGAACUUGAUUAAAGGAACGGUAGAAAACCAGAAAGGUUGCAAGUGUCAACAGGAAACUCAUUUGCCAUGAAUUACGAGAAGCAGAACUGGAAGAAGAGCAAGGUGUUUUUCAAAAUCAUGCACUGACCAGAGAGGACCAUAAGCAAACACGCUUCCCAACCAUUGAUUAUUAUCACAAUUCCUUCAGUAGUGAAAACUCUUGUUACCUGAUAAUAGUCUUGAAGAAAUUUUGGACAGAGCAAGGAAGACCCAAAACCUGAUGGAAUCAUUCUUUCUCCCCCAUUUCAAAAUUCCCUAUGGACAGACCAGAUGGUCAAGCUUCUAUGGCUCUUCCUGACUUUGAAGACAGUCACCAUCCUUGACUGCUGACCUUUUGAGGUGAGUAGUAAGGCAGGAUUAUGUCUCAGCAGUGAUUUUUGUUUGUUUUUCUCAUACCAACAACACACUAAUAAUUAAUGACUGCUCCACAGUUAGAAAGGGCAUACCUGCUGUACCCAAUGAAUUUGAUCCCAUUGAACUC
RNAcentral lists this long non-coding RNA (909 nucleotides) under Anser brachyrhynchus (Pink-footed goose). RNAcentral describes it as "lncRNA (ENSABRG00000008881.1)". Lineage: Eukaryota; Metazoa; Chordata; Aves; Anseriformes; Anatidae. The record is from RNAcentral.